RNAcentral lists this ribosomal RNA (384 nucleotides) under Triticum aestivum (bread wheat). RNAcentral describes it as "partial small subunit ribosomal RNA". Lineage: Eukaryota; Viridiplantae; Streptophyta; Magnoliopsida; Poales; Poaceae. The record is from RNAcentral.
AUGGAACCGAGGAGACCGACCAAGCCGGCCGCAGAGGAGGAGGGGCCGAUGGAGGCCUGUGAGGUCACCCGCCUGCAAGAGGAGCUCUUGUGGGCAGCGCUGUCCAGCACGUCACCUCGCGACGCCUGCCGUGCCGCAGCGGUCUCCCCGGCCUUCCGUGUGGCGGCCGACUCGGACGCUCUCUGGGCCUGCUUUCUGCCCUGCGGUCGUGACCUUCCGCCGCUCGCUGACGGAGAGUCGACGCCAUGCAGGAAGAAGGACCUGUUCCUCCGCCUCUCCGGCAGCCCCGUCCUCCUCCCAUGCGGACUCGUGAGCAUGUGGCUGGACAGGGAGACCGGCGCCAGGUGCUACAUGGUGCCGGCGAGGGAGCUGUCCAUCGGAUGA